AGAGUUUGAUCCUGGCUCAGGAUGAACGCUAGCGGCAGGCCUAAUACAUGCAAGUCGAACGGUGGUAGCAAUACCAUAGUGGCGCACGGGUGCGUAACACGUAACUAACCUACCCAUCAUUGGGGGAUAGCCCGCCGAAAGGGGAUUAAUACCGCAUAACACUAUAAAACGGCAUCGUUUAGUAGUUAAAGAUUUAUUGAUGAUGGAUGGGGUUGCGGGUCAUUAGCUAGUUGGUUGGGUAACGGCUGACCAAGGCGACGAUGACUAGGGGAGCUGAGAGGCUGGUCCCCCACACGGGCACUGAGAUACGGGCCCGACUCCUACGGGAGGCAGCAGUAGGGAAUAUUGGGCAAUGGGCGAGAGCCUGACCCAGCCAUGCCGCGUGCAGGAAGAAGGCUUUCUGAGUCGUAAACUGCUUUUGACAGGGAAGAAUAAGCCUACGUGUAGUGCGAUGACGGUACCUGCAGAAUAAGCACCGGCUACUCCGUGCCAGCAGCCGCGGUAAUACGGAGGGUGCGAGCGUUGUCCGGAUUUAUUGGGUUUAAAGGGUGCGUAGGCGGCCCGUUAAGUCCGGGGUGAAAGCCCGCUGCUCAACAGCGGAACUGCCCUGGAUACUGACGGGCUUGAGUACAGACGAGGUUGGCGGAAUGGACGGAGUAGCGGUGAAAUGCAUAGAUACCGUCCAGAACCCCGAUUGUGAAGGCAGCUGACUAGGCUGUUACUGACGCUGAGGCACGAAAGCGUGGGGAGCGAACAGGAUUAGAUACCCUAGUAGUCC
RNAcentral lists this ribosomal RNA (778 nucleotides) under uncultured bacterium. RNAcentral describes it as "bacterial SSU rRNA". It matches the Rfam family "Bacterial small subunit ribosomal RNA", at positions 8 to 796 of the family's 1533-position model. The record is from RNAcentral.